UGGGGAAUAUUGCACAAUGGGCGAAAGCCUGAUGCAGCGACGCCGCGUGAGGGAUGACGGCCUUCGGGUUGUAAACCUCUUUCAGUAGGGACGAAGCGCAAGUGACGGUACCUGCAGAAGAAGCACCGGCUAACUACGUGCCAGCAGCCGCGGUAAUACGUAGGGUGCGAGCGUUGUCCGGAAUUACUGGGCGUAAAGAGCUCGUAGGCGGUUUGUCACGUCGUCUGUGAAAUCCUAGGGCUUAACCCUGGACGUGCAGGCGAUACGGGCUGACUUGAGUACUACAGGGGAGACUGGAAUUUCUGGUGUAGCGGUGGAAUGCACAGAUAUCAGGAAGAACACCGAUGGCGAAGGCAGGUCUCAGGGUAGUAACUGACGCUGAGGAGCGAAAGCAUGGGUAGCGAACAGG
This 409-nucleotide ribosomal RNA is filed under the name bacterium. Its description in RNAcentral is "partial 16S ribosomal RNA". It matches the Rfam family "Bacterial small subunit ribosomal RNA", at positions 355 to 776 of the family's 1533-position model. The record is from RNAcentral.